GUGGGGAAUAUUGGACAAUGGGCGAAAGCCUGAUCCAGCCAUGCCGCGUGUGUGAAGAAGGUCUUCGGAUUGUAAAGCACUUUAAGUUGGGAGGAAGGGCAGUAAGUUAAUACCUUGCUGUUUUGACGUUACCGACAGAAUAAGCACCGGCUAACUUCGUGCCAGCAGCCGCGGUAAUACGAAGGGUGCAAGCGUUAAUCGGAAUUACUGGGCGUAAAGCGCGCGUAGGUGGUUUUGUAAGUUGGAGGUGAAAUCCCCGGGCUCAACCUGGGAACGGCCUCCAAAACUGCAUGACUAGAGUACGGUAGAGGGUAGUGGAAUUUCCUGUGUAGCGGUGAAAUGCGUAGAUAUAGGAAGGAACACCAGUGGCGAAGGCGACUACCUGGACUGAUACUGACACUGAGGUGCGAAAGCGUGGGGAGCAAACAGGAUUAGAUACCCCAGUAGUCC
RNAcentral lists this ribosomal RNA (450 nucleotides) under uncultured bacterium. RNAcentral describes it as "bacterial SSU rRNA". It matches the Rfam family "Bacterial small subunit ribosomal RNA", at positions 354 to 796 of the family's 1533-position model. The record is from RNAcentral.